GCCCUCGUAGCUCAGUGGACUAGAGCACUUGGUUCCGGUCCAAGGUGUCGGAGGUUCGAAUCCUUUCGAGGGCG
RNAcentral lists this transfer RNA (74 nucleotides) under Synechococcaceae cyanobacterium SM2_3_1. RNAcentral describes it as "tRNA-Arg". It matches the Rfam family "tRNA". From Rfam's summary of the family: Transfer RNA (tRNA) molecules are approximately 80 nucleotides in length. RNAcentral also lists the same sequence under 3 other names. Lineage: Bacteria; Bacillati; Cyanobacteriota; Cyanophyceae; Synechococcales; Synechococcaceae. The record is from RNAcentral.